UGUGGCCUGCAGGGGUUCCGCUUCUCCCGUGGCACAGCCUGUGGCAAUGGAGUCUGGAGUCCCCUCAGUUUGCUGGCUCAAGGAAGACAACUUCCAAGAUAGGAAGAGUGGGAGAGCUUGUCAGGAGUCCUUGUAAAAGCUGUGCACUGCUCUCCAGGACUGAGGGGAAGUCCCUCAGUUCAAGCCUUCCUAUAUGCAUUCCCUCAUCCCAGCAUGUGCCUGUGGAACUUGACACUUCCUGCACAUUAAAAGAGCCAUUUGUUCUGUAAAGAAAUUACAGAAUCAGCUCGGAAAAGGCCUCUGAGAUAGACAUUUCAGAGGAGUUCUUGUAUGCUCCUGAACACAGGAGCUGUUCCCUUGCUGUGUCACGAUAGAACUGCCACCAUGGCUAAAGGGCACUUGGGUGAAGCUUUUCUGGGGAAAGGUUUUCAGUGAGCUCAUGGCAAUUGCUACAUGCAAUCUCUUGAGAAAACUGAAGCACAGGAAAAGGAGGAGCUGUAGCUCCUGCUGGGUGGGGUGGGGCAGAAGCAAUGGGACUUUCUCAGUCCCAGGUUUCUAUGGGUUGAGUGGCCAAAGAGGACAAAAGGUAGACAUCAGGCAGUAUUUUGUGCUGUUGAUGUGCUUGCUGUGUGACACAGGGGUUGCAGCUGGAGUGAUGUAGUGAAAGCAGAAUGCUCUGUCUUUGGGUUGACUUUUUGGUGGGCUUGCCCAGCACAGGCAGUUUUCUUUCAGCAUCUGGUUGUUUUUCCCUUGUGUGUUGCAGGUCACAUCACCCAUGCCUGGAGAGAAUCCGGUCUUUGGGUGAGUGGGAAAGGAGCCUCUGGCCUUGGGAGCAUUUGACAAUUGUGGAGCAAGCUGUGAGCUGGGCCUGUUGCAGUCCAGUGCCAGCCUGGUUGCAUGAAUGAAAGUACAGUCCAGACUCUUUGCAGCAAGAGCAGCAGCAGCAGGAGGAGCCUGGGCUGUUUUCUGCAGUUCCUUUUCAGAGCUUUUAAGCAGCUGGAAGUGGGGUUGCCUGGUGCUUUAAGCCAUGAGAGAAUUUCACCUGCACAAGAGAGUGCAGUCCCAUCUAAUUGUCCCAUUUUACUUGAGUUGGAGCAACUUAGAAUCCCAUUUCCCUACAGAUGAUUUCUCCUUAGUGCAUCUGGGUCUAGAGCUGAAUAUAAAGAAGGUCAUGUGUCCCUCAUGCUGCUGUCUGUCUGCAGAGCCCAACACCAACCUCGGAGGCUCCUCUGGCUAUGUGUCUUCCUGCGGAAAAGGCCAAAGAGGAGGAAGAUGCUCCCCAAACUGCACCUGCUGCCACUGCAGGGCCUGAGCAUCCAGCAUCAGUAAGUGGCAGCUCUGGGUAGUGCUGUGGCUACAGCAAAGCAUAGCUGCAAGUUUCUGAUCAGACAGCACCUCCCGUGCCUGGCUGAAGAUGCUGAGGGCUGGAAUCAUUCCAGCCCUUCCCCCAGUCAGUUAGGCUUGGAAAAGGGGAGUGGAACUUGGAUUGUUCAGACAUCUGAACAGUAGGCAGUAGGCACCUUCCUACUGUUCUGAAAGGGGCUGUGAAUUUGUCUUAGCAAGAGACAAGAGGUAGCAUUAAGAUGUCUUUGGAUGCUCCUGGGGUACAAGUGAGGCCCGUGGUGGCCAGUGGCUGUGCAGGCUCCCUGUCCCCUGUGAGGAGAGCAGUGCAAAUAUGCAGUUCAAAAGCUUGCAGGAUAUGAGGUGGCACUGUCCCCAGGAGGGACCUGGCCCUCCCCACAGAGCAGCUGUCAGUAGCUAAAGGAAGAGCUGAGCUGCAGCAGGGCCUGUAGCUGAAUAUAGGUAAGGUUGUGAAUGACAGGUUCUUUCCUGUCCCUCGUGCUGCUGACUGUCCACAGAGCACAAGGGCAGCGUCAGCACCUGCUCUGGCUGCCUCUGUACCCGAGGAAGAGGCUGAAGAGGAGGAAGGUGCCAAUGAACCUGGCCCUGCUGUCAGCCCAGGGCUGGAGCAAACAACACCAGUAAGUGCCCCCUUUGAGUAGCAGUGUCUUUGGUGUCAUUUUGUCCGUCAUGUAAAAGCAGCCUUGGGAUUUUGUGCCUUGAGCUGUUGAAGCAAGCUGCACAAGCUGGGAGGUGAAGAGCCCUGGGUGUGGCCAGCAGUAUCUUCCUAGGGGUGUGCAUUUGAAAUGAGAUGGGAGGGGCAUCUCUGCCAGGCACAUUUGUGACCCAAAUUCAUUUCUUGUCCCAGAGCUCCACCUCCUCUGUCCUGGCAGCUGCAGGAGCUGCAGCUGAAGGCUGGGAAGAAGGCUCCAGUGCCCAGGCUGGAAGCUCAAGCACGAGCAGCUCGUGCACCUGGAGCACGACUAGCUCCUCUGGCAGCAGAGAGCAGCAGCGAGAGAGCACAGAGGACAAGUGCCUGGCCGUGCUGAAGAUGCUGGUGAGCAAGGGAGAUCCUGAGGCGAAAUACACAGAAGUGGAAACUCUUGGCAAAGGGGGUUUCGGCACUGUGUGCAUGGCAGUGGAGUCUGCCACAGGAGAAGAGGUGGCCAUCAAGAAAAUUAGUCUCCUGCAAGAGAGCAGCAGUGAGCUGUGCCUGAAUGAAAUCCAGGUCAUGCGUGGCACUAAGAAUGCCAACCUUGUGAACUAUGUAGACAGCUACCUGGUGGACGAGGAACUCUGGCUCGUGAUGGAAUACAUGGACGGAGGUUCUUUACAUGAUGUCAUCAGGGAGACUCACAUGGCAGAAGGAGAGACAGCAGCUGUCUCUCGGGAGUGCCUGCAAGGCCUGGAUUUCCUGCACUCCAAGCAAGUGAUCCACCGCGAUAUCAAAAGCCACAACAUUCUCCUGGGCUUGGAUGGAUCUGUCAAGUUGGCUGAUUUUGGCCUUGCUGCUCAGCUCACUGCUGAGCAGAGCAAACGGAGAUCAGCUGUUGGGACUACUUACUGGAUGGCGCCAGAAAUUUUCACCAGGAAGCCCUAUGGCCCCAAAGUGGACAUCUGGUCCUUUGGAAUUGUGGGGAUCGAGAUGGUGGAAGGAGCGCCUCCGUACCUGAUGAAAACCUCCCGCACGGUUCAACAGCUGAUAAGCACCGGGGCCCCCCCGAAGCUGCAGAAGCCCAGGCAGCAGUCGGCGUGGCUGCGAGACUUCCUGCACUGCUGCCUGGAGAGGGACGAGGACAGGCGCUGGUCUGCCCAGGAACUUCUGCAGUUUUCCUGUUGUACCCCUCACUUCCCUGAACCCACUAUCCCUGAGAAGGAGAGGAUGGGAGAUGGAACCUGCUCAAGAGCACAGGUGAGCCACCAGUCAUCUGCCAUCUCCCCUCCUUUUCUGUCCUCUUGCCAGGACAGCACUGGCCAUGCCAACCUGGAGUCUACCCUAACCCACUUUCUGACAGCCCUCAGCCCUACUCUUGCCUUCCUACUGUAUUAGCCAUUCCCCAUUUUUGUUGGAAUUCAUGUUUUAGAGAUCAAACUUACAAUGAGAUUUCACAAUAAAACAGCCAGAGGACCGACUCUGUUGCCCCCACAGGAGACCUGUUCCUGGCCCUGCCAGAAGCUCCCCGACAGGCCAGUCUGCCGGGGUCGGCUGCCAGUGGUCUCUGCCCCAGCACGGGAAAAAGUGGUUCUGGGCAGGCCGCACUCUCGAAGAAGGAGUCUGGACUCUUGCUUUUCGGUCUUCAGUUGAGUUUAUUGUUCCUUAUCUACAAAGUUUUUCUGUCUGUCCAGCCGAGGUCUGAUCAGCAAGACAGCCAAGGGCACUCUCUCCCGCCCAUGGGGCGGUUGUCUCUUUUCUAGUAAAAACUACGUAGAAGAUAUUUACCUUUAAUUUCCAAUACUUUUCGCCCUUGUUGGCAAGUGCACUUUCCCUAUGAACCAAUCCACACAUGCCAACAUCAUCCUGAACGUGGAUGCCAAGGAGAAGAAAGAAGAAGGACAGGACAUGCCCAAAUUCCUCCAUCUUAGUACCCCUGACCCCCAUGUACAGAAUUUCAAAACCCCCCUGUACAACAUAUAAAACCCCCCUGUACAGUGUGUUAUAAUUCAAGUUUUAUCAAGUGAGUAUCUUCCCCUCACCAUUCAGGCCUGAAUUUCUCUCAUUUUCUCACAUUCAGGUGUCUUUGGCUUCCUGCCAGGGUCUCUGAGCCCCUGCCAGGGCUCUGAGACAUCCAGGGCAUCCAGAGAGAUGCUCUGGGUUCCGACACUAGUCCUCCAUCAAAGCUUUUCUUUUGAUUUGUGUGUUUGGUGAAGGGCACAGGGGAAGGUGCCACCACAAGUCCUUUUGAUUUUCUGUUCUCUUGUUUUGUGGGUGAGUGAGGGGGAAUGGAGUGGCAGGGAGCAACCUGGGUCUCAGGGCUUUAGAAGCAAGGGGGAAUGGAAAUCAAAUUCUCUUAUUGUUUAGCUGUGCUCUGCAAUAUGAACCCACCUGUUAAUUUAAAUUGUCAAGUUUAGUUAAAGUCUAUUAAGUGUUGUGUUGUUUUUAGUUAAGACAAAAUUAUUAUUUUUACUAUGAUUGUUAUACAUUUAAUUAUAAAUCAAACAAAAAAGGGGGAGUCGUGGGAGCUUGUGCUGGAGGGCAGGGGCCAGGAACUGACCAUACAGCCACAGAUCAGACAAACAACGACCAACACCAAGCCUCAGGAGAAGAGAAGCCACAAGGGAUGACACCCAGACAACUUAUGGGGAGCUUCUCAUGAAGAGCAGAGGACUCUGGAUUGGGAGUGGCCAUGCAGAUCAACAGCCUGCCUGGACCCAUCAGGGCAGAGGGAAAACAGGCAAAUCUUCUUGGAAAGGACUUCAGAAUUCCAUCAUGGAAAUGAAGCACUGUUGACAGAGCACUAGACUCUGAAAGGAUUUGAAAGGGGAGAGGAAGCUCAGCUUGCACAUGAGCCACAAGAAGCUUUCUCCCCACCAGAAUUUUGGCAUCACAAUAGCAGUGCUCCAUGCUGGCCAUCUCUCCCCAGGAUAUCCCCCACGUGCACGCCCCUCCUGCUGGCAAUGGGCUCACUUUGGCUGUCUUGUGGGGCAGAGAAGGGAACAGGCACCCAGAGAGGGAGCAUUUCACUGUGUUUCAGAAAAUGACAGCAGAGCAGCCUUCCUCAGCAAAGUCAUCUGAAAUGACUUAAGAGUCCUAAUAGUCUGGAACGCCUCAAGGUGCUCUCAUACCAGGACCUCACUGCUGCCUCACCUGAGGGUUUACAGCUGCCUCCAGGCCCUUCCAGGCUAAGCGCAGGUGCUCAGGAGUCUGACUUCUUCCUGACAUCUCCCAAGAAAGUCUUUGCCUCAUCUGGAUUUCUUGGGGUUUCAUCAGAGGAACCAGGCACCAGCAAAUUUCAUCUCAAGCGUCAGCUCAUCAUUCCGCUGGUUCCCAUAGACCGCAGAUGCCGCCCUGAGCUCAUGGUUUCUCUGCGUCCCAUAGACCAUCACAGCCCUUCCAUGGCCUCUCCAGAGGGAAGCAGCUGCACAUCUUCAGAGCAGUAUUUGCCAGCCUGCAGUUCAUCAGCCACCCCAGGCACUUCAGGCCCCAGCGCUCCAGCUGGCAGUGCUGGUUUUGCACCAUGGACAGCCCCCAGCUGGCUGUGGAAUACUCCUGGGGAAGAGGAAUUGCCACCACCAGAUCUGGACAUGGUGCUUGAGACGCUGGAGGAGAUGUUUUCUCCCUCUGCUCAGGUAACUGCAUUGGACAGGGAAGAAAAGGGCUGGGAGCUGAGAGCUUGUGAAUGUUGUUGCAUGGCUGAGAAGCAAAGGCUUCUUGAGUUCAGCUCCGUGAAUGGACAGGAAAAGAUUUGCUUGGUGAAACAAGACUUCCUAAAGAAGAGGGAAUGAAAAAGUCUCCCCCUGAAUAAGGAUGAAGAGGUGUGAGCCUGUGUUGGCCAGGUUUGGGUGCCUGUUUUCCUGGGAAGAAUCCCUCGUGCAGGGGUGUUUGUGGUGAGGAAGUGGAAGCUUUGCAGGUUCUAAGAGGCUUUGUUUGGUGGGAAAGAAGAGAAGAGUGUUUGGAGAAUUGCCAAGUGUCCCGUGCAGGGAGGGACAUGGCAGAGGCUGUGCCU
Passer domesticus (house sparrow) is the source of this 6005-nucleotide RNA transcript. It is a transcript of the gene named serine/threonine-protein kinase PAK 3-like, with no coding region annotated. NCBI's taxonomy places the organism in Eukaryota, Metazoa, Chordata, Aves, Passeriformes, Passeridae. The record is from RefSeq and is a predicted model, not a curated record. The transcript has 12 exons.